UGCCAGCCGCCGCGGUAAGACGUAGGGUCCGAGCGUUGUCCGGAGUUACUGGGCGUAAAGCGCGCGCAGGCGGUUCGUCGCAUCGGUGGUGAAAGCCCCCCGCUCAACGGGGGAGGGUCCAUCGAGAUGGGCGGACUGGAGGCAGGGAGAGGCGAGUGGAAUUCCGGGUGUAGUGGUGAAAUGCGUAGAGAUCCGGAGGAACACCAGCGGCGAAGGCGGCUCGCUGGACCUGACCUGACGCUGAGGCGCGAAGGCGCGGGGAGCGAACGGGAUUAGAUA
Molecule: ribosomal RNA, 279 nt
Filed under: uncultured bacterium
Lineage: Bacteria
Description: partial 16S ribosomal RNA
Rfam family: Bacterial small subunit ribosomal RNA
Source: RNAcentral